This 65-nucleotide transfer RNA is filed under the name Lachnaia cylindrica. RNAcentral describes it as "tRNA-Ala". The record is from RNAcentral. Lineage: Eukaryota; Metazoa; Arthropoda; Insecta; Coleoptera; Chrysomelidae.
AGGGUAAUAGUUAAUUAUAACAUUUAACUUGCACUUAGAAAGUAUUGCCCCUGCAAUUUACCUUA